Molecule: small nucleolar RNA, 101 nt
Organism: Papio anubis (olive baboon)
Lineage: Eukaryota; Metazoa; Chordata; Mammalia; Primates; Cercopithecidae
Source: Ensembl
ACCCUUUUGUAGUUUGUAAGUGUGAUGAUUGGGGAUUCACACUCGUGUGUGAGAUGUGUCACCCUCAAACCUUUUCACGUCGGCAAAAUACUCAUCUGACA